Molecule: non-coding RNA, 249 nt
Filed under: Clostridium beijerinckii
Lineage: Bacteria; Bacillati; Bacillota; Clostridia; Eubacteriales; Clostridiaceae
Description: T-box sequence
Rfam family: T-box leader
About the family: Uncharged tRNA acts as the effector for transcription antitermination of genes in the T-box leader family. T-boxes are found upstream of many aminoacyl-tRNA synthetase genes and some amino acid biosynthetic genes usually in Gram-positive bacteria. The anticodon of a specific tRNA base pairs to a specifier sequence within the T-box motif, and the NCCA acceptor tail of the tRNA base pairs to a conserved bulge in the T-box antiterminator hairpin.
Source: RNAcentral
UAAAAGACGAUGAUUAGGAAAAGUAUCUUAGAUAUUAUUUUUAGAGAGUAGUUGGUUGGUGUAAAGCUAUAAUAAAUCUUAGAGAAAAUCACCUAGGAGUUGGAGGCUGAAAGGCGUAAUGCCGAAUAAGUUAUCACGUAAGAGCCUGCGUUAAAGGAUAGAGUAUGUAUGUACUUGAAAUAAAACAUUUAAUUUUGCGUUUAGAUGUUUUAGCCUUAGGUGGUUUGCGAAUUCAACUUCGUCCUUUAG